Small nucleolar RNA from Syzygium oleosum, 85 nucleotides. RefSeq annotates it as small nucleolar RNA R38. The record is from RefSeq and is a predicted model, not a curated record. NCBI's taxonomy places the organism in Eukaryota, Viridiplantae, Streptophyta, Magnoliopsida, Myrtales, Myrtaceae. The transcript has a single exon.
CGUUGAGGAUGAUGAGACACGAAAAAUUUUACAGUUAUCACUGUCUGACGCACCGGGUGCUGAAAUAUGUAAAUCUGACACAACC